UGGCGGUGGGAACAACGGGCAUGUGUGGAGUCGAGGUGGAAGCUGAGGGCGAAGGAUUGGCCACCAGUGCACUCCAGGACCUCUAGAUCAGCCGCUUUAUUCUGUCGCUCCAAGCCUCCCAUCCUGUUAAGCCUGUUGGGGGGGGGUGCAGAACCCACCGGCGGUGAUGGAGGGCGGGGCCCGGGGGGGUGAUGCACAAUCCACUGGUGCCGGAGGAGGG
Molecule: long non-coding RNA, 220 nt
Filed under: Elaeis guineensis (African oil palm)
Lineage: Eukaryota; Viridiplantae; Streptophyta; Magnoliopsida; Arecales; Arecaceae
Description: long non-coding RNA (EGUI_LNC033751)
Source: RNAcentral